RNAcentral lists this transfer RNA (72 nucleotides) under Sphaerodactylus townsendi. Its description in RNAcentral is "tRNA-Ala". It matches the Rfam family "tRNA". Rfam says of the family: Transfer RNA (tRNA) molecules are approximately 80 nucleotides in length. Their secondary structure includes four short double-helical elements and three loops (D, anti-codon, and T loops). The record is from RNAcentral. Lineage: Eukaryota; Metazoa; Chordata; Lepidosauria; Squamata; Sphaerodactylidae.
GGGGCUGUGGCUCAGUGGCAGAGCCUCUACUUGGCAUGCCGAAGGUUCCAUGUUCAAUCCUGGGCACCUCCA